This 497-nucleotide ribosomal RNA is filed under the name uncultured bacterium. RNAcentral describes it as "partial 16S ribosomal RNA". It matches the Rfam family "Bacterial small subunit ribosomal RNA", at positions 28 to 507 of the family's 1533-position model. The record is from RNAcentral.
GAUGAACGCUGGCGGCGUGCCUAAUACAUGCAAGUCGAGCGAACGGACGAGAAGCUUGCUUCUCUGAUGUUAGCGGCGGACGGGUGAGUAACACGUGGAUAACCUACCUAUAAGACUGGGAUAGCUUCGGGAAACCGGAGCUAAUACCGGAUAAUAUUUUGAACCGCAUGGUUCAAAAGUGAAAGACGGUCUUGCUGUCACUUAUAGAUGGAUCCGCGCUGCAUUAGCUAGUUGGUAAGGUAACGGCUUACCAAGGCGACGAUGCAUAGCCGACCUGAGAGGGUGAUCGGCCACACUGGAACUGAGACACGGUCCAGACUCCUACGGGAGGCAGCAGUAGGGAAUCUUCCGCAAUGGGCGAAAGCCUGACGGAGCAACGCCGCGUGAGUGAUGAAGGUCUUCGGAUCGUAAAACUCUGUUAUUAGGGAAGAACAUAUGUGUAAGUAACUGUGCACAUCUUGACGGUACCUAAUCAGAAAGCCACGGCUAACUACGUG